GGUUGAUCAGUGAUUAUGAAUCACUAUUGGAUCUAAUCAUCGAUAUGAUUGAUGAUUAAUCCAGUGUAAGAGUUAUAAUAAAGUAAUUUACUAAGAGUUAGUUAGUUGUAGGAUGAUUAAUUAGUAAUUAGAUUGCUAAUUGACUCAAUUUGAUUGAGCAACAGGGCUAAAAUUAAGUCUAAUUAAAUUGGAUGCAAUUUAACUUCAUUUGGAUUUGAUUAGAUC
This 225-nucleotide long non-coding RNA is filed under the name Elaeis guineensis (African oil palm). Its description in RNAcentral is "long non-coding RNA (EGUI_LNC071475)". Lineage: Eukaryota; Viridiplantae; Streptophyta; Magnoliopsida; Arecales; Arecaceae. The record is from RNAcentral.